This 370-nucleotide ribosomal RNA is filed under the name uncultured bacterium. RNAcentral's name for it is "bacterial SSU rRNA". It matches the Rfam family "Bacterial small subunit ribosomal RNA", at positions 29 to 390 of the family's 1533-position model. The record is from RNAcentral.
AACGAACGCUGGCGGCGCGCCUAAUACAUGCAAGUCGAGCGAGAAGGUGUAGCAAUACACUUGUAAAGCGGCGAACGGGUGAGGAAUACAUGGGUAACCUACCCUCGAGUGGGGAAUAACUAGCCGAAAGGUUAGCUAAUACCGCAUACGAUUCCAGGACUUCGGUCCUGGAAGGAAAGCACUACCGUGGGUAGUGCGCUCCUGGAUGGGCUCAUGUCCUAUCAGCUUGNGGUGAGGUAAAGGCUCACCAAGGCUUCGACGGGUAGCUGGUCUGAGAGGACGAUCAGCCACACUGGCACUGCGACACGGGCCAGACUCCUACGGGAGGCAGCAGUAAGGAAUAUUGGUCAAUGGACGCAAGUCUGAACCA